CGCGGCCUCGAUUGCGGCCACGUCGAUCUUCUUCAUGGUCAUCAUCGCUUCGAACGCGCGUCUGGCUUCCUCGCCGCCCUUGGCCAUCGCGUCCGUCAGGACACGCGGCGUGAUCUGCCACGNNNNNNNUUGCACCAGCCGCAGGCGCUUUCCUGGCCGCCGUUGCCGACGAUGGCGUUCCAGUAUUUGUCAGUCUCCGCCUGAUCGUCGGUCGCGAUGCAGAUCGAGAACG
RNAcentral lists this unclassified non-coding RNA (232 nucleotides) under Hevea brasiliensis (rubber tree). The record is from RNAcentral. Lineage: Eukaryota; Viridiplantae; Streptophyta; Magnoliopsida; Malpighiales; Euphorbiaceae.